AUGAACGCUGGCGGCGUGCCUAAUACAUGCCAGUCGAGCGAACGGACGAGAAGCUUGCUUCUCUGAUGUUAGCGGCGGACGGGUGAGUAACACGUGGAUAACCUACCUAUAAGACUGGGAUAACUUCGGGAAACCGGAGCUAAUACCGGAUGAUAUUUUGAACCGCAUGGUUCAAAAGUGAAAGACGGUCUUGCUGUCACUUAUAGAUGGAUCCGCGCUGCAUUAGCUAGUUGGUAAGGUAACGGCUUACCAAGGCAACGAUGCACAGCCGACCUGAGGGGGUGAUCGGCCACACUGGAACUGAGACACGGUCCAGACUCCUACGGGAGGCAGCAGUGGGGAAUCUUCCGCAAUGGGCGAAAGCCUGACGGAGCAACGCCGCGUGAGUGAUGAAGGUCUUCGGAUCGUAAAACUCUGUUAUUAGGGAAGAACAUAUGUGUAAGUAACUGUGCACAUCUUGACGGUACCUAAUCAGAAAGCCACGGCUAACUACGUG
Molecule: ribosomal RNA, 496 nt
Filed under: uncultured bacterium
Lineage: Bacteria
Description: partial 16S ribosomal RNA
Rfam family: Bacterial small subunit ribosomal RNA
Source: RNAcentral